RNAcentral lists this ribosomal RNA (390 nucleotides) under uncultured bacterium. RNAcentral describes it as "partial 16S ribosomal RNA". It matches the Rfam family "Bacterial small subunit ribosomal RNA", at positions 355 to 762 of the family's 1533-position model. The record is from RNAcentral.
UGGGGAAUAUUGCACAAUGGGCGAAAGCCUGAUGCAGCAACGCCGCGUGAGUGAUGAAGGUCUUCGGAUUGUAAAGCUCUGUCUUUUGGGACGAUAAUGACGGUACCAAAGGAGGAAGCCACGGCUAACUACGUGCCAGCAGCCGCGGUAAUACGUAGGUGGCGAGCGUUGUCCGGAUUUACUGGGCGUAAAGGGUGCGUAGGCGGAUGUUUAAGUGAGAUGUGAAAUACCCGGGCUUAACUUGGGUGCUGCAUUUCAAACUGGAUAUCUAGAGUGCAGGAGAGGAGAAUGGAAUUCCUAGUGUAGCGGUGAAAUGCGUAGAGAUUAGGAAGAACACCAGUGGCGAAGGCGAUUCUCUGGACUGUAACUGACGCUGAGGCACGAAAAGCG